UACAGAGGUCUCAAGCGUUGUUCGGAUUCAUUGGGCGUAAAGGGUGCGUAGGCGGCGCGGUAAGUCGGGUGUGAAAUCUUGGAGCUUAACUCCGAAACUGCAUUCGAUACUGCCGUGCUUGAGGACUGGAGAGGAGACUGGAAUUUACGGUGUAGCGGUGAAAUGCGCAGAUAUCAGGAGGAACACCCGUAGCGAAGGCGGCACUCUGGGCCGAUUCUGACACUGAGGAGCGAAAGCGUGGGGAGCGAACAGG
This 253-nucleotide ribosomal RNA is filed under the name uncultured bacterium. Its description in RNAcentral is "partial 16S ribosomal RNA". It matches the Rfam family "Bacterial small subunit ribosomal RNA", at positions 524 to 776 of the family's 1533-position model. The record is from RNAcentral.